UACGGAGGAUCCGAGCGUUAUCCGGAUUUAUUGGGUUUAAAGGGUGCGUAGGCGGCCUAUUAAGUCAGGGGUGAAAGACGGUAGCUUAACUAUCGCAGUGCCUUUGAUACUGAUAGGCUUGAAUGUACUUGAGGUAGGCGGAAUGUGACAAGUAGCGGUGAAAUGCAUAGAUAUGUCACAGAACACCAAUUGCGAAGGCAGCUUACUAAAGUAUGAUUGACGCUGAGGCACGAAAGCGUGGGGAU
Molecule: ribosomal RNA, 245 nt
Filed under: uncultured bacterium
Lineage: Bacteria
Description: partial 16S ribosomal RNA
Rfam family: Bacterial small subunit ribosomal RNA
Source: RNAcentral